AUGGGGUGACUGCGUACCUUUUGUAUAAUGGGUCAGCGACUUAUAUUCUGUAGCAAGGUUAACCGAAUAGGGGAGCCGAAGGGAAACCGAGUCUUAACUGGGCGUUAAGUUGCAGGGUAUAGACCCGAAACCCGGUGAUCUAGCCAUGGGCAGGUUGAAGGUUGGGUAACACUAACUGGAGGACCGAACCGACUAAUGUUGAAAAAUUAGCGGAUGACUUGUGGCUGGGGGUGAAAGGCCAAUCAAACCGGGAGAUAGCUGGUUCUCCCCGAAAGCUAUUUAGGUAGCGCCUCGUGAAUUCAUCUCCGGGGGUAGAGCACUGUUUCGGCAAGGGGGUCAUCCCGACUUACCAACCCGAUGCAAACUGCGAAUACCGGAGAAUGUUAUCACGGGAGACACACGGCGGGUGCUAACGUCCGUCGUGAAGAGGGAAACAACCCAGACCGCCAGCUAAGGUCCCAAAGUCAUGGUUAAGUGGGAAACGAUGUGGGAAGGCCCAGACAGCCAGGAUGUUGGCUUAGAAGCAGCCAUCAUUUAAAGAAAGCGUAAUAGCUCACUGGUCGAGUCGGCCUGCGCGGAAGAUGUAACGGGGCUAAACCAUGCACCGAAGCUGCGGCAGCGACGCUUAUGCGUUGUUGGGUA
This 642-nucleotide ribosomal RNA is filed under the name Escherichia coli. Its description in RNAcentral is "partial 23S ribosomal RNA". It matches the Rfam family "Bacterial large subunit ribosomal RNA", at positions 588 to 1230 of the family's 2925-position model. Lineage: Bacteria; Pseudomonadati; Pseudomonadota; Gammaproteobacteria; Enterobacterales; Enterobacteriaceae. The record is from RNAcentral.